UACGGAGGGAGCUAGCGUUGUCCGGAAUUAUUGGGCGUAAAGAGCUCGUAGGCGGUCUGUCGCGUCGAUCGUGAAAACUUGGGGCUUAACCCUGAGCUUGCGGUCGAUACGGGCAUGACUGGAGUUCGGCAGGGGAGACUGGAAUUCCCGGUGUAGAGGUGAAAUUCGUAGAUAUCGGGAGGAACACCAGUGGCGAAGGCGGCGAUCUGGGAAGAUACUGACGCUGAGGUGCGAAAGCGUGGGGAGCAAACAGG
This 254-nucleotide ribosomal RNA is filed under the name uncultured bacterium. RNAcentral's name for it is "partial 16S ribosomal RNA". It matches the Rfam family "Bacterial small subunit ribosomal RNA", at positions 524 to 776 of the family's 1533-position model. The record is from RNAcentral.